This 488-nucleotide ribosomal RNA is filed under the name uncultured Serinibacter sp. RNAcentral describes it as "bacterial SSU rRNA". It matches the Rfam family "Bacterial small subunit ribosomal RNA", at positions 1 to 507 of the family's 1533-position model. The record is from RNAcentral. Lineage: Bacteria; Bacillati; Actinomycetota; Actinomycetes; Micrococcales; Beutenbergiaceae.
UAGAGUUUGAUCCUGGCUCAGGACGAACGCUGGCGGCGUGCUUUACACAUGCAAGUCGAACGAUGAUGGGUGCUUGCAUCCCUGAUUAGUGGCGAACGGGUGAGUAACACGUGAGUAACCUGCCCCAGACUCUGGGAUAACUCCGGGAAACCGGGGCUAAUACUGGAUAUCAUUUCUGCCUGCAUGGGUGGUUGUUGAAAGGGUUUCUGGUCUGGGAUGGGCUCGCGGCCUAUCAGCUUGUUGGUGGGGUGAUGGCCUACCAAGGCGAUGACGGGUAGCCGGCCUGAGAGGGUGACCGGCCACACUGGGACUGAGACACGGCCCAGACUCCUACGGGAGGCAGCAGUGGGGAAUAUUGCACAAUGGGCGCAAGCCUGAUGCAGCGACGCCGCGUGAGGGAUGACGGCCUUCGGGUUGUAAACCUCUUUCAGUAGGGAAGAAGCUUUCGGGUGACGGUACCUGCAGAAGAAGCGCCGGCUAACUACGUG